This 868-nucleotide long non-coding RNA is filed under the name Drosophila guanche. Lineage: Eukaryota; Metazoa; Arthropoda; Insecta; Diptera; Drosophilidae. The record is from RNAcentral.
AACAAAAUCAACGUAGUAAUUCAUCUAGUACUCGCAUGAGCUUAGUUUCGGAAUCUACAAAAAUUAGUUUCUCGACAGUAAGAAGAAAUAAUUAUUUCAAUAUUUAUUCAGAGAUGAAUUCAGCGAUAGAUCUAAUAUCUGCGGUGGAAGGAACAACCCACAACGCAAUUUCAAUGGAUUCCACAACUGUUCAGGAAUCGUUAGCAAGCCAAGCUUCGCCUGUGGCCAACUCAACCCCAAUUCGGGCUGGGCGACUGACCGGUGCCUUUAACUCUCCGUUCAUGCCUCGCAUUCCACUAUCUUUGGCCCACAUCAAGGGACGAUCAGGUGUUAUUAGACAGCCUUCGGUUGUCUACUCGCCGAAUUUCUUGCGUCGCAUACCCAGAACUUUUUCGCAGAUCAAGGGACGACCACGUAGAAAAAUUCCCCAAAAUCUUAAUCCAAAUGCAAAAUAUACUUCGAGUUUGAAUGAAACCAACUCAUCGCCCGUGCCUCCUGUCAGCACUUCCCUUGAGCACGUGAGUAUAUAUUGAAAAACUAAAACCUAUUGUAAGUAAUUGUUCCACUCAGUUGUUUGAAGCUGAAUUGGUAGACGUGGAAGUGGUUGGGUCAGCUGUGGAAGCAGCUGGGUCAGCUGCAGAAGUUUUUGGAACAACAUUUACACUCCUUGGAGAAGCUAUGCUCUCGGAGGAGCUGCGGGUGACAGAGCCACAAGCCCUGCCAGCGCCGGAGGAGAUGACUGACACAAAAUCCGCAUUCCCAUGUUCUAUAUCAUAAUCAAAUAACAUUUAAAGAAAACACAAAACUGUUGUUGUUGUUGCCCCUAACACCACAUAAUGUACUACAAAAUCCUUCAAUUAACUUUGGC